ACCGCGAUAGCUCAUCUGGUAGAGCAUCUGCCCGGUAUGCGGAGGGUCGCCGGUUCGAUUCCGGCUCGCGGCG
Molecule: transfer RNA, 73 nt
Filed under: Fasciola gigantica
Lineage: Eukaryota; Metazoa; Platyhelminthes; Trematoda; Plagiorchiida; Fasciolidae
Rfam family: tRNA
About the family: Transfer RNA (tRNA) molecules are approximately 80 nucleotides in length. Their secondary structure includes four short double-helical elements and three loops (D, anti-codon, and T loops). Further hydrogen bonds mediate the characteristic L-shaped molecular structure. tRNAs have two regions of fundamental functional importance: the anti-codon, which is responsible for specific mRNA codon recognition, and the 3' end, to which the tRNAs corresponding amino acid is attached (by aminoacyl-tRNA synthetases). tRNAs cope with the degeneracy of the genetic code in two manners: having more than one tRNA (with a specific anti-codon) for a particular amino acid; and 'wobble' base-pairing, i.e. permitting non-standard base-pairing at the 3rd anti-codon position.
Source: Rfam by way of RNAcentral